UACGAAGGGGGCUAGCGUUGCUCGGAAUCACUGGGCGUAAAGCGCACGUAGGCGGAUUGUUAAGUCAGGGGUGAAAUCCUUGAGCUCAACUCCAGAACUGCCUUUGAUACUGGCGAUCUCGAGUCCGGGAGAGGUGAGUGGAACUGCGAGUGUAGAGGUGAAAUUCGUAGAUAUUCGCAAGAACACCAGUGGCGAAGGCGGCUCACUGGCCCGGUACUGACGCUGAGGCGCGACAGCGUGGGGAGCAAACAGG
This 253-nucleotide ribosomal RNA is filed under the name uncultured bacterium. RNAcentral's name for it is "partial 16S ribosomal RNA". It matches the Rfam family "Bacterial small subunit ribosomal RNA", at positions 524 to 776 of the family's 1533-position model. The record is from RNAcentral.